GCGAGUGAACCGGGAAGAGCUCAAAUUUGAAAUCUGGCAGUCUUCGAUUGUCCGAGUUGUAAUCUAUAGAAGCGUUUUCCGUGCUGAACUGUGUAUAAGUCCCUUGGAACAGGGUAUCAAAGAGGGUGACAAUCCCGUACUUUACACAAUCAUCAGUGCUCUGUGAUACGUUCUCUACGAGUCGAGUUGUUUGGGAAUGCAGCUCAAAAUGGGUGGUAAAUUCCAUCUAAAGCUAAAUAUUGGCGAGAGACCGAUAGCGAACAAGUACCGUGAGGGAAAGAUGAAAAGCACUUUGGAAAGAGAGUUAAACAGUACGUGAAAUUGUUGAAAGGGAAACGAUUGAAGUCAGUCGUGUUCAUUGGAUUCAGCCGGUCUUCGGUGUAUUUCCUUUGAACGGGUCAACAUCAGUUUUGUCCGGUGGAUAAAGGUAGUAGGAAGGUGGCUCUUUCGGGAGUGUUAUAGCCUAUUGCCACAUACACUGGGGGAGACUGAGGACUGCAGCUUGCCUUUAUGGCCGGGGUUCGCCCACGUUCAAGCUUAGGAUGUUGACAUAAUGGCUUUAAACGACCC
Molecule: ribosomal RNA, 570 nt
Filed under: Apiotrichum sporotrichoides
Lineage: Eukaryota; Fungi; Basidiomycota; Tremellomycetes; Trichosporonales; Trichosporonaceae
Description: eukaryotic LSU rRNA
Rfam family: Eukaryotic large subunit ribosomal RNA
Source: RNAcentral